AGCAGUAGCGCGGUAAUACAGAGGGUGCGAGCGUUAAUCGGAUUUACUGGGCGUAAAGCGUGCGUAGGCGGCUUCUUAAGUCGGAUGUGAAAUCCCUGAGCUUAACUUAGGAAUUGCAUUCGAUACUGGGAAGCUAGAGUAUGGGAGAGGAUGGUAGAAUUCCAGGUGUAGCGGUGAAAUGCGUAGAGAUCUGGAGGAAUACCGAUGGCGAAGGCAGCCAUCUGGCCUAAUACUGACGCUGAGGUACGAAAGCAUGGGGAGCAAACAGGAUUAGAUACCCCCGUAGUCCCUGUCUCUUAUACC
This 303-nucleotide ribosomal RNA is filed under the name uncultured bacterium. RNAcentral's name for it is "partial 16S ribosomal RNA". It matches the Rfam family "Bacterial small subunit ribosomal RNA", at positions 510 to 808 of the family's 1533-position model. The record is from RNAcentral.